RNAcentral lists this transfer RNA (83 nucleotides) under Anaerolineaceae bacterium 4572_5.2. Its description in RNAcentral is "tRNA-Leu". It matches the Rfam family "tRNA". From Rfam's summary of the family: Transfer RNA (tRNA) molecules are approximately 80 nucleotides in length. RNAcentral also lists the same sequence under 1 other name. The record is from RNAcentral. Lineage: Bacteria; Bacillati; Chloroflexota; Anaerolineae; Anaerolineales; Anaerolineaceae.
GGGGAAGUGCUGGAAUUGGCAGACAGGCAUGACUUAGGAUCAUGUGCCCCCGUGGCGUGUGGGUUCGACCCCCUCCUUCCCUA